RNAcentral lists this ribosomal RNA (406 nucleotides) under uncultured bacterium. RNAcentral describes it as "partial 16S ribosomal RNA". It matches the Rfam family "Bacterial small subunit ribosomal RNA", at positions 29 to 526 of the family's 1533-position model. The record is from RNAcentral.
AUUGAACGCUGGCGGCAGGCCUAACACAUGCAAGUCGAACGAGUGGCGGACGGGUGAGUAAUGUCUGGGAAACUGCCCGAUGGAGGGGGAUAACUACUGGAAACGGUAGCUAAUACCGCAUACCAACGGCUGUGCCCAGAUGGGAUUAGCUAGUAGGUGGGGUAAAGGCUCACCUAGGCGAAGAGCCCUAGCUGGUCUGACAGGAUGACCAGCAACACUGGAACUGAGACACGGUCCAGACUCCGACGGGAGGCAGCAGUGGGGAAUAUUGCACAAUGGGCGCAAGCAUGAUGCAGCCAUGCCGCGUGGAUGAAGAAGGCCUUCGGGUUGUAAAGUACUUUCAGCGGGGAGGCGUUACCCGCAGAAGAAGCACCGGCUAACUCCGUGCCAGCAGCCGCGGUAAUAC